AUCAGAGGAAAGGGAGGACACCGAUUUCACCCCACUGCCAGGGAAUUUGCUGCAGCACUAAGGAGUGCAUCAGUGGCAAACAUCAUCAGCUUGCAGGGCAGUGCUACAAACUGCAUUCCUGAUAAUGCCACUCAGUUGUUGCAGUCCACUCCUGUGAAAUGCAGUGAGCAGAUUGAAUGUGAAAAUGAAGAGCUGGAUGAAGAGCAAAUAAUGGCUAAUGAGCAGGAGGGGGGCAAGGGAAGUUGCAGGCUUUUGUCGAAGUUUUGAGGUUCCCGGUUCGAUCCCCGCCCGCGGUGUGCAAAGACGGAGAACACACAUCCGGGAACGAUGAGCCAUUCGUAUACAAGCUUCACCUGAGCUCGU
Perca fluviatilis (European perch) is the source of this 363-nucleotide long non-coding RNA. RefSeq lists it as uncharacterized. The record is from RefSeq and is a predicted model, not a curated record. Lineage: Eukaryota; Metazoa; Chordata; Actinopteri; Perciformes; Percidae. The transcript has 3 exons.